AGUACCCCGAGGAAAAGAAAUCAACCGAGAUUCCCCCAGUAGCGGCGAGCGAACGGGGAGCAGCCCAGAGCCUGAAUCAGUGUGUGUGUUAGUGGAAGCGUCUGGAAAGGCGUGCGAUACAGGGUGACAGCCCCGUACACAAAAAUGCACAUGCUGUGAGCUCGAUGAGUAGGGCGGGACACGUGGUAUCCUGUCUGAAUAUGGGGGGACCAUCCUCCAAGGCUAAAUACUCCUGACUGACCGAUAGUGAACCAGUACCGUGAGGGAAAGGCGAAAAGAACCCCGGCGAGGGGAGUGAAAAAGAACCUGAAACCGUGUACGUACAAGCAGUGGGAGCCUCUUUUAUGGGGUGACUGCGUACCUUUUGUAUAAUGGGUCAGCGACUUAUAUUCUGUAGCAAGGUUAACCGAAUAGGGGAGCCGAAGGGAAACCGAGUCUUAACUGGGCGUUAAGUUGCAGGGUAUAGACCCGAAACCCGGUGAUCUAGCCAUGGGCAGGUUGAAGGUUGGGUAACACUAACUGGAGGACCGAACCGACUAAUGUUGAAAAAUUAGCGGAUGACUUGUGGCUGGGGGUGAAAGGCCAAUCAAACCGGGAGAUAGCUGGUUCUCCCCGAAAGCUAUUUAGGUAGCGCCUCGUGAAUUCAUCUCCGGGGGUAGAGCACUGUUUCGGCAAGGGGGUCAUCCCGACUUACCAACCCGAUGCAAACUGCGAAUACCGGAGAAUGUUAUCACGGGAGACACACGGCGGGUGCUAACGUCCGUCGUGAAGAGGGAAACAACCCAGACCGCCAGCUAAGGUCCCAAAGUCAUGGUUAAGUGGGAAACGAUGUGGGAAGGCCCAGACAGCCAGGAUGUUGGCUUAGAAGCAGCCAUCAUUUAAAGAAAGCGUAAUAGCUCACUGGUCGAGUCGGCCUGCGCGGAAGAUGUAACGGGGCUAAACCAUGCACCGAAGCUGCGGCAGCGACGCUUAUGCGUUGUUGGGUAGGGGAGCGUUCUGUAAGCCUGUGAAGGUGUGCUGUGAGGCAUGCUGGAGGUAUCAGAAGUGCGAAUGCUGACAUAAGUAACGAUAAAGCGGGUGAAAAGCCCGCUCGCCGGAAGACCAAGGGUUCCUGUCCAACGUUAAUCGGGGCAGGGUGAGUCGACCCCUAAGGCGAGGCCGAAAGGCGUAGUCGAUGGGAAACAGGUUAAUAUUCCUGUACUUGGUGUUACUGCGAAGGGGGGACGGAGAAGGCUAUGUUGGCCGGGCGACGGUUGUCCCGGUUUAAGCGUGUAGGCUGGUUUUCCAGGCAAAUCCGGAAAAUCAAGGCUGAGGCGUGAUGACGAGGCACUACGGUGCUGAAGCAACAAAUGCCCUGCUUCCAGGAAAAGCCUCUAAGCAUCAGGUAACAUCAAAUCGUACCCCAAACCGACACAGGUGGUCAGGUAGAGAAUACCAAGGCGCUUGAGAGAACUCGGGUGAAGGAACUAGGCAAAAUGGUGCCGUAACUUCGGGAGAAGGCACGCUGAUAUGUAGGUGAAGUCCCUCGCGGAUGGAGCUGAAAUCAGUCGAAGAUACCAGCUGGCUGCAACUGUUUAUUAAAAACACAGCACUGUGCAAACACGAAAGUGGACGUAUACGGUGUGACGCCUGCCCGGUGCCGGAA
RNAcentral lists this ribosomal RNA (1645 nucleotides) under Escherichia coli. Its description in RNAcentral is "partial 23S ribosomal RNA". It matches the Rfam family "Bacterial large subunit ribosomal RNA", at positions 205 to 1874 of the family's 2925-position model. Lineage: Bacteria; Pseudomonadati; Pseudomonadota; Gammaproteobacteria; Enterobacterales; Enterobacteriaceae. The record is from RNAcentral.